UCUCUUUUCUUUCUCUUGCCUUCUCCCUCCCCCUCCUCCUGUCUCUUGUGAUCUAGUUUUGCCUUUCUUGCAGGAUAACUGGAAACUUGAUUUUAGUUUAAGAGCACAAUUAUGUCCCUAAUUGUACUUUUUUUCUGCUCAAAGAAAAAUUGGGUAAUAUUUUAAAAGUAACUUUGGUCAGGAUUAUAAGAAGAGAUGGCUAGAUCCUUUUGCUUACUAUUUAUUCCCAAACUGAACCUUUUCUUAAGACUGUAUUUUAUUCAAACACCACCAAAUGUACUAACAGCUAAUUAGGUUAUAAUGCUUCCCUACUGCUUUAGAUAUAAGUGUAAUAAUGUAGGCCUGAAUGUGAACGAUGGCGGGUGUUAGGAUUUCACGCGGUGUACCUGUGAAUGAUCCAUGUUAUUCAGUAAACGAGGGCUGUUUCAGUGACCUUCUGCACACACAGCACCGGCUCAGGUCGAGCCUGGCAGCAUUCCUUCAGCCUUUCAUCACUCAGCAAACACAAAGACACCGGCCUAAGAGGUCCACCGACUGGAAACACACCAAAAAUUAGCUUUUGCUCUCUUCCAUUUCCCUUAUAUCUUAUGAAGCAGCUCUGUUAGACAUAAAGAGAUCACUGUAUGCUGCAGCAAUAACCCAUCUGCUGGGAUGUGAUGUGGAACAGAAACAGCGCCCUGAGGCUGACAGGCUUUUGACUCGGUGGUGUUUUUUAAAAGUGUGUAGUGUUUGAAAUUAGUAACUGCCAUGCAUUGUGUGAAAAGCAGCCCUCCCAGCCUUGCCGUGCCAUAGAUUUAGACUAGUCGGAACAGGUUUGGGCAAUCAUUAACAACUUCUGUGGCCCAGUCUUCUGUGACGGCGAGUUUAAGCUGAAAACCCCAACCACAACAAGGGCUCUGCAGUGAUACUCUGGAGAGGUGGUCUCCAGGUAUGGACUUCCCCUUUCCUAUUUACUGUUAUGUUUCCAGGCAUGACUAUUCCUAGUUUUAAUCUCAACUUUGCUGCCAUGAAAACCAUGAAACUAAACUUGAAUGUGGAGGGGAAAAAGUGAAAAUUGAGGCUUUAGCUUAUACAAAAUACUGAACUUAUUGGCUCUCACUGUCAUCAGGCUGGAAGUGAAAAAGGUUUUUAUGGUAAGGUAAGAGUUUCGGGUCAAUGUAUUCCUUCAUUUACCCUUAAGGUGAGGUCCCAUUAUUGAGGUUCUCUAUAUUUGGGUGUUUAUCUCCAUCUUACGAGGCAGCAUUGGAUUUCAAUACUCUCUCUAAUACUGCCUGGUAAUGAUGAUGAUAGUCAUCUGUAGACUGCAACCACUAAGACUAACCCCUUUAGCUGAUUCAUGCUACCCAGUCUGGGCCCUGUGUUGGCUCAAAUACUUGGCAGACAUGUCUCUCAGGAUCCAUCUUACCUGACAGUGCUGGAUUGUACGACUGUUGUUCUAACACUGUCUGGUAACGAUGUUUCCUGGGGGACUCUUUGGACUCCGUUGUUUCCCUCCCAGAAAUGUUUAUGACUGUAAAAAGCUGCAAGGCGCCUUUGAUGUUGUCAUCAAGAGGUAAUAAUAAGUGGCGUUGGCUUUGUGCUCUGGAGUAAUCAGACUGCUAAACAUUCACUUUUUACUCUGAAGUUUAUUCCAGUUUUUGUUUCACUCUCAUUUGUCUUUGACGAUGUCUCCGGCCGUAUGCUGAUCGGUCGUAAAUAAGAGAAAAAGUGGCAGAGAUGGUGUAAGGUGUUGCCAGACAGGGCUUAAGUUUGUAAGAAAAUACAGAAAUGCUUAUGUCAAGGACUUUAACUUUGAAAGGAGAUUAUAACUAAAGGCCUAUUGUUCGGUAAUACUUCUAAAAUUCUGCAUAUAUUUGGUUUUAUGUACUUCCCUGUCUUUUUUCUUUUGCGUUUAUGGCAGCCUCACCACACCCAAGUUAAAGAAUAGCAGUCAGUUGAUGGUUCCACCGGUCCUGCAGGGCCUUAUUUCCUUGUUCCCUCCCCCUGAGCAGCUCUGGUCUUUGUGUUGUGUGGCAGUGAUUGGUCCAACAAGACGUACCUGCGUGGCACAUCCUGAAACUGACACAUGAGCACACCUGAGAAUGCUUUGCUUGGAAACUAGGCAAUGGACGCUUUGGCCUCCUCCCAGCUUUGUGAGCGUUUAUCUAUAAAGAGAGCAUCAAAUGAUACCUUAGAAGAGUUUCUUUAAAACAGACAAAGUAGGAGUUCAGCGUUUUUACCACAAGUCAAAAUUAAAUGUGAAUUUAAUGGCUAAAGCUGUGAGAAAGAUAUGAGUAACAAAGGCAGAUAAUAAACAUGGAGUGAGCAGAAACCUGGUGUUUGUUUAAGGAGGGAGAAUAACCCCGCAAAUACAGAGCCGCACCUUUAUUUGCCCA
Molecule: long non-coding RNA, 2375 nt
Filed under: Xyrichtys novacula (pearly razorfish)
Lineage: Eukaryota; Metazoa; Chordata; Actinopteri; Labriformes; Labridae
Rfam family: mir-8/mir-141/mir-200 microRNA precursor family (bases 1221-1288)
Source: RNAcentral